Long non-coding RNA from Camelus dromedarius (Arabian camel), 490 nucleotides. RefSeq lists it as uncharacterized. The record is from RefSeq and is a predicted model, not a curated record. Lineage: Eukaryota; Metazoa; Chordata; Mammalia; Artiodactyla; Camelidae. The transcript has 3 exons.
CGGCUUGGGCCGGUCCCAACCGGAUGUGACGUAGAUGGGAGCGACGAGCUUGUGCGCGUGCGCGUGCGGGCCAGGAAGCUUUCCGGGUUCGGGUUGGUUUGCAUCUGGCAGGUUCUCGUGUGGCUGCUGAGCCGCCGGUUCGAGUCUUCUGUGGUCUCCGCCAGGGGGGCCCGCUCCGGCAGGUCACAGCACCUUAGUUUUCUUUGGAGGAACUGUCCACCAUCUCUCAUCCACUCUUGGGACACAUGGUUUGCAUGUUUAUGACCCCAACGCUGGCCUCUGGGGCGGGCACAGGCCUGGAUGUGGCCAAUCAGAGCUACACAGAAUGAGGCCGGUGCUGUGUCCGAGGGAGUCAGCAACUUUCCUGCAAAGGGCAGAACCGUCUUUCCCUGGGCAAGGUGACUCAGAUACCAGCUGGGGAGCCUCUCAACUCACCGCCUGAAUCACAUCUCGGCCACAGUGGGGCCUGUCAGUAGCAGGAACCCUGGAG